Molecule: ribosomal RNA, 747 nt
Filed under: uncultured Paraprevotella sp.
Lineage: Bacteria; Pseudomonadati; Bacteroidota; Bacteroidia; Bacteroidales; Prevotellaceae
Description: bacterial SSU rRNA
Rfam family: Bacterial small subunit ribosomal RNA
Source: RNAcentral
GACGCUGAGGCUCGAAAGUGCGGGAAUCAAACAGGAUUAGAUACCCUGGUAGUCCGCACCGUAAACGAUGAGUGAUGGUCAUUGGCGACAGACGGUCAGUGACUGAGGGAAACCAUUAAGCACUCCACCUGGGGAGUACGCCGGCAACGGUGAAACUCAAAGGAAUUGACGGGGGCCCGCACAAGCGGAGGAACAUGUGGUUUAAUUCGAUGAUACGCGAGGAACCUUACCCGGGUUUGAAAUGUGCAUGACGGUAUCCGGAGACGGAUGCUUCCUUCGGGCAUGCAUGUAGGUGCUGCAUGGUUGUGGUCAGCUCGUGCCGUGAGGUGUCGGCUUAAGUGCCAUAACGAGCGCAACCCUUUCGUCAGUUGCCAUCAGGUGAUGCUGGGCACUCUGUCAGGACUGCCAUCGCAAGAUGUGAGGAAGGUGGGGAUGACGUCAAAUCAGCACGGCCCUUACGUCCGGGGCUACACACGUGUUACAAUGGGGGGCACAGCGCGCAGGCCUAUGGCGACAUGGGUAGAAUCGUGAAAUCCCCUCUCAUUUCGGAAUGGACUUUGCAACCCGACUCCUAGAAGGAGGAUUCGCUAGUAAUCGCGCAUCAGCCAUGGCGCGGUGAAUACGUUCCCGGGCCUUGUACACACCGCCCGUCAAGCCAUGAAAGCCGGGGGUGCCUGAAGUCCGUCACCGCAAGGAUCGGCCUAGGGCAAAACCGGUAAUUGGGGCUAAGUCGUAACAAGGUAACCA